RNAcentral lists this transfer RNA (64 nucleotides) under Plegadiphilus threskiornis. RNAcentral's name for it is "tRNA-Phe". Lineage: Eukaryota; Metazoa; Arthropoda; Insecta; Psocodea; Menoponidae. The record is from RNAcentral.
AUCUAAAUAGCUUAACUAAAGUGUAGUAUUGAAGCUACUAAGAUAGGAGACAUCCUUUUAGAUA